Molecule: RNase P RNA, 314 nt
Filed under: Ignisphaera aggregans
Lineage: Archaea; Thermoproteati; Thermoproteota; Thermoprotei; Desulfurococcales; Desulfurococcaceae
Description: RNase P RNA component
Rfam family: Archaeal RNase P
About the family: Ribonuclease P (RNase P) is a ubiquitous endoribonuclease, found in archaea, bacteria and eukarya as well as chloroplasts and mitochondria. Its best characterised activity is the generation of mature 5'-ends of tRNAs by cleaving the 5'-leader elements of precursor-tRNAs.
Source: RNAcentral
CCGACCCAUAGGCUGCUACGGCAAACCAUGCUGAGGAAACACCGUCCUCCGUAUGGAUCUGGAGCCCCGCAAGGGGCUAGGGUAAUACCCUAGGCUCUGGCACAGAAACGAUAUAUCCACAAAUCAAUGAGGAUGAUGCAGAGAGACUCCUUGGGUAACCGAGGAGUAGAAAACCUGCUGACGAGAUUUGUGGGAGUAGUGAAACGGCUAGCCUCCAGGGAGUAAGGAUCACCCGAUGAAAUCUCCAUAUAAUGGGUGGAUAACCGCUCUAGCCAAAUGCAGCCAUAUACAGAAGACGGGUUAUUAUGGGUCGG